GAUGAACGCUAGCGGCAGGCUUAAUACAUGCAAGUCGAGGGGCAGCGCAGUGUAGCAAUACAUGGGCGGCGACCGGCAAACGGGUGCGGAACACGUACGCAACCUUCCUUUAAGUGGGGGAUAGCCCAGGGAAACUUGGAUUAAUACCCCGUAAUAUUAUGAAGUGGCAUCACUUUAUACUUAUAGCUCCGGCGCUUAAAGAUGGGCGUGCGACUGAUUAGGUAGUUGGCGGGGUAACGGCCCACCAAGCCUGCGAUCAGUAACUGGUGUGAGAGCACGACCAGUCACCCGGGCACUGAGACACGGGCCCGACUCCUACGGGAGGCAGCAGUAAGGAAUAUUGGUCAAUGGACGCAAGUCUGAACCAGCCAUGCCGCGUGGAGGAUGAAGGUCCUCUGGAUUGUAAACUUCUUUUAUUAGGGAAGAAACCCACUGUUUCUACGGUGGUUGACGGUACCAGAUGAAUAAGCACCGGCUAACUCCGUGCCAGCAGCCGCCGUAA
Molecule: ribosomal RNA, 502 nt
Filed under: uncultured bacterium
Lineage: Bacteria
Description: partial 16S ribosomal RNA
Rfam family: Bacterial small subunit ribosomal RNA
Source: RNAcentral